This 679-nucleotide long non-coding RNA is filed under the name Notechis scutatus (mainland tiger snake). RNAcentral's name for it is "lncRNA (ENSNSUG00000011143.1)". The record is from RNAcentral. Lineage: Eukaryota; Metazoa; Chordata; Lepidosauria; Squamata; Elapidae.
GUAAAUAAUUGCAUUAGAUUUUAGAAAAAGUGUGAAAUCUUUAGCAUAUAACAAAUAGAGAUGCAAAAUACAGAGAAAAUCCUUGAUCAGUUUUCAUAAUUACUAUAUGAAUGACUAGUUAUUUUCUACAGGUGGCACUUUCAGUGAAGUUUUUCUUUUUUUCUGUUUAACAGGUAGCUGAAUCACUAGGAAUUACAGAUUGUUGUCUUGAAGUGACAAAGAUACAGACAAAUUCUUUUCCUGAAUGUACUGAAUCUACUGAUGAGCCUAUAUUGCUCCAUAUCUCAGGACAGAAAUGAGCAGCUGAGGUAUAAAAUAAACAAAUUUUGUCAUGAACUGUACAGCAAAAAUUAUUCUGCAAAAAUAUGGGGGAAAAAUAUGAAUUGCUCCAAUCAAGAAUUGUGGAAGAUAAAUACAGAUUUAUGUGAUCGACACACUCAAGAAAAAUUGAAUAUUUACAGCCUUUAAGUACACCAAGAUUAGAUUAUUUGAGAUGCCCAACGGACCAUAGAGGACAUUCACAAGAAGAACAAAGAUAAAGUCAAGUUGGGACACAGUAAACAAAAUGACUUAUUAUAUCUCUUGAAACAUCUGAAAAAUACAGUCAUCGUUCUCCUUGAUUUCUUCAUGAAAAAACAGUGAAAAUAAAAUAUAUCAAGAACUUAAGAAAAAAUGCUGU